This 51-nucleotide transfer RNA is filed under the name Canis lupus (wolf). RNAcentral describes it as "partial tRNA-Gly". Lineage: Eukaryota; Metazoa; Chordata; Mammalia; Carnivora; Canidae. The record is from RNAcentral.
AGUACGAUUGACUUCCAAUCAGUUAGCUCCAGAUCAACCUGGAAAGAAGUA